GCGGGCGUGGUGGAAUCGGUAGACACGCUAGACUUAGGAUCUAGUGCCGCAAGGUGUGAGAGUUCGAGUCUCUCCGCCCGCACAA
RNAcentral lists this transfer RNA (85 nucleotides) under Flavobacteriaceae bacterium. RNAcentral describes it as "tRNA-Leu". It matches the Rfam family "tRNA". From Rfam's summary of the family: Transfer RNA (tRNA) molecules are approximately 80 nucleotides in length. Their secondary structure includes four short double-helical elements and three loops (D, anti-codon, and T loops). Lineage: Bacteria; Pseudomonadati; Bacteroidota; Flavobacteriia; Flavobacteriales; Flavobacteriaceae. The record is from RNAcentral.